AGCUUCUUUACAGUGCUGCCUUGUUGCUUAUGGAUCAAGCAGCAUUGUACAGGGCUAUGA
RNAcentral lists this microRNA precursor (60 nucleotides) under Anolis carolinensis (green anole). Its description in RNAcentral is "Aca-Mir-103-P4_pre stem-loop". It matches the Rfam family "mir-103/107 microRNA precursor family", at positions 11 to 70 of the family's 78-position model. From Rfam's summary of the family: This family consists of the mammalian microRNA (miRNA) precursors mir-103 and mir107. Animal miRNAs are transcribed as ~70nt precursors and subsequently processed by the Dicer enzyme to give a ~22nt product. The record is from RNAcentral. Lineage: Eukaryota; Metazoa; Chordata; Lepidosauria; Squamata; Anolidae.